GACGAACGCUGGCGGCGUGCUUAACACAUGCAAGGAGAACGCUGAAGGCGGAGCUUGCUUCUCUGGAUGAGUUGCGAACGGGUGAGUAACGCGUAGGUAACCUGCCUGGUAGCGGGGGAUAACUAUAGGAAACGAUAGCUAAUACCGCAUAAGAGUACAUGUUGCAUGACAUUUGCUUAAAAGGUGCAAUUGCAUCACUAUCAGAUGGACCUGCGUUGUAUUUGCUAGUUGGUGGGGUAACGGCUUACCUAGGCGGCGAUACAUAGCCGACCGGAGAGGGUGAUAGGCCACACUGGGAGGGAGACGGGGCCCAGAGUCCUGCGGGAGGCAGCAGUAGGCAAUCGGCGGCAAGAGACGGGAAUCUGGCCGAACAGGGCGGAGUGAGUGAAGAAGAUGUUCGGGUCGUGAAGCUCUGUUGUGGGAUGAGAACGGGUGUGAGCGUGGAAAGUUCACGCUGUGACGGUAUCUGACCAAGAAGCACCGGCUAACUACGUG
This 495-nucleotide ribosomal RNA is filed under the name uncultured bacterium. RNAcentral describes it as "partial 16S ribosomal RNA". It matches the Rfam family "Bacterial small subunit ribosomal RNA", at positions 28 to 507 of the family's 1533-position model. The record is from RNAcentral.